AGUCAUAUUGGGCGUAAGGGCUCGCAGGCGGUUUCUUAAGUCUGAUGUGAAAGCCCCCGGCUCAACCGGGGAGGGUCAUUGGAAACUGGGAAACUUGAGUGCAGAAGAGGAGAGUGGAAUUCCACGUGUAGCGGUGAAAUGCGUAGAGAUGUGGAGGAACACCAGUGGCGAAGGCGACUCUCUGGUCUGUAACUGACGCUGAGGAGCGAAAGCGUGGGGAGCGAACAGGAUUAGAUACCCUGGUAGUCCACGCCGUAAACGAUGAGUGCUAAGUGUUAGGGGGUUUCCGCCCCUUAGUGCUGCAGCUAACGCAUUAAGCACUCCGCCUGGGGAGUACGGUCGCAAGACUGAAACUCAAAGGAAUUGACGGGGGCCCGCACAAGCGGUGGAGCAUGUGGUUUAAUUCGAAGCAACGCGAAGAACCUUACCAGGUCUUGACAUCCUCUGACAACCCUAGAGAUAGGGCUUUCCCUUCGGGGACAGAGUGACAGGUGGUGCAUGGUUGUCGUCAGCUCGUGUCGUGAGAUGUUGGGUUAAGUCCCGCAACGAGCGCAACCCUUGAUCUUAGUUGCCAGCAUUCAGUUGGGCACUCUAAGGUGACUGCCGGUGACAAACCGGAGGAAGGUGGGGAUGACGUCAAAUCAUCAUGCCCCUUAUGACCUGGGCUACACACGUGCUACAAUGGACAGAACAAAGGGCUGCAAGACCGCAAGGGUUUAGCCAAUCCCAUAAAUCUGUUCUCAGUUCGGAUCGCAGUCUGCAACUCGACUGCGUGAAGCUGGAAUCGCUAGUAAU
This 795-nucleotide ribosomal RNA is filed under the name Bacillus pumilus. RNAcentral describes it as "bacterial SSU rRNA". It matches the Rfam family "Bacterial small subunit ribosomal RNA", at positions 547 to 1342 of the family's 1533-position model. The record is from RNAcentral. Lineage: Bacteria; Bacillati; Bacillota; Bacilli; Caryophanales; Bacillaceae.